RNAcentral lists this ribosomal RNA (484 nucleotides) under uncultured bacterium. RNAcentral describes it as "partial 16S ribosomal RNA". It matches the Rfam family "Bacterial small subunit ribosomal RNA", at positions 30 to 507 of the family's 1533-position model. The record is from RNAcentral.
AUUGAACGCUGGCGGCAGGCCUAACACAUGCAAGUCGAGCGGAUGAAGGGAGCUUGCUCCUGGAUUCAGCGUCGUACGGGUGAGUAAUGCCUAGGAAUCUGCCUUUUAGUGGGGUAUAACGUCCGGAAACGGGCGCUAAUACCGCAUACGUCCUGAUGGUGAAAGAGUGGGAUCUUCGGACCUCACGCUAUCAGAUGAGCCUAGGUCGGAUUAGCUAGUUGGUGGGGUAAAGGCCUACCAAGGCGACGAUCCGUAACUGGUCUGAGAGGAUGAUCAGUCACACUGGAACUGAGACACGGUCCAGACCCCUACGGGAGGCAGCAGUGGGGAAUAUUGGACAAUGGGCGACAGCCUGAUCCAGCCAUGCCGCGUGUGUGAAGACGGUCUUCGGAUUGUAAAGCACAUUAAGUUGGGACGAAGGGCAGUAAGUUAAUACCUUGCUGUUUUGACGUUACCAACAGAAUAAGCACCGGCUAACUUCGUG